GAACGCGAAGAACCUUACCUGGACUUGAUAUCCCGGGAAUCUCCUGGAAACAGGGGAGUGCCUUUCGGGGAACCCGGAGACAGGUGCUGCAUGGCUGUCGUCAGCUCGUGUCGUGAGAUGUUGGGUUAAGUCCCGCAACGAGCGCAACCCUUGUCUUUAAUUGCCAGCAUUCAGUUGGGCACUUUAGAGAGACUGCCGGUGUUAAGCCGGAGGAAGGUGGGGAUGACGUCAAGUCCUCAUGGCCUUUAUGUCCAGGGCUACACACGUGGCUACAAUGGGUGGUACAAUGGGUUGCCAAGCCGCGAGGCGGAGCUAAUCCUAAAAAGCCGGUCUCAGUUCGGAUUGCAGGCUGCAACUCGCCUGCAUGAAGUCGGAGUUGCUAGUAACGCGGGUCAGCUGCCUGCGGGUGAAUACGUUCCCGGGGUC
RNAcentral lists this ribosomal RNA (426 nucleotides) under uncultured bacterium. Its description in RNAcentral is "bacterial SSU rRNA". It matches the Rfam family "Bacterial small subunit ribosomal RNA", at positions 957 to 1378 of the family's 1533-position model. The record is from RNAcentral.